RNAcentral lists this ribosomal RNA (253 nucleotides) under uncultured bacterium. Its description in RNAcentral is "partial 16S ribosomal RNA". It matches the Rfam family "Bacterial small subunit ribosomal RNA", at positions 524 to 776 of the family's 1533-position model. The record is from RNAcentral.
UACGUAGGGGGCAAGCGUUGUUCGGAAUUACUGGGCGUAAAGGGCGCGUAGGCGGCCCGGCAAGUCGGGAGUGAAAGCCCGGGGCUCAACCCCGGAGGGUCUUCCGAAACUGCCGAGCUAGAGUGCGGAAGAGGCAACCGGAAUUCCCAGUGUAGCGGUGAAAUGCGUAGAUAUUGGGAAGAACACCAGAGGCGAAGGAGGGUUGCUGGGCCGACACUGACGCUGAGGCGCGAAAGCCAGGGGAGCAAACGGG